This 295-nucleotide signal recognition particle RNA is filed under the name Aotus nancymaae (Ma's night monkey). RNAcentral describes it as "Metazoan signal recognition particle RNA (ENSANAG00000008470.1)". It matches the Rfam family "Metazoan signal recognition particle RNA". From Rfam's summary of the family: The signal recognition particle (SRP) is a universally conserved ribonucleoprotein. It is involved in the co-translational targeting of proteins to membranes. The eukaryotic SRP consists of a 300-nucleotide 7S RNA and six proteins: SRPs 72, 68, 54, 19, 14, and 9. The record is from RNAcentral. Lineage: Eukaryota; Metazoa; Chordata; Mammalia; Primates; Aotidae.
GCCGGGAGCGGUGGCACAUGCCUUAGUCCCAGCUACUCAGGAGGCUGAGGUGGGAGGAUCGCUUGAGCCCAGGAGUUCUGGGCUGUAAUCUAUGCUGAUCCGGUGUCCGCACUAGGUUCAGCAUCAAUAUGGUGACCUCCAGGGAGUGGGAGACCACCAAGUUGCCUAAGGAGGGGUAAACCGGCCCAGGUCGGAAACGGAGCAGGUCAAAACUCCGGUGCUGAUCAGUAGUGGGAUCACGCCUGUGAAUAGCCACUGCACUCCAGCCUGGGCAACAUAGUGAGACCCCGUCUCA